CCAAAAACAUAGCCUUUAGCCUAACAAGUAUUAAAGGUAACGCCUGCCCAGUGAAUUUUUUUAACGGCCGCGGUACCCUAACCGUGCAAAGGUAGCGUAAUCAUUUGCCCACUAAUUAUGGACCAGUAUGAAAGGCCGCAUGAGAGUCUAACUGUCUCUUGUAAUCAAUUUAUAAAACUGAUCUCCCAGUCCAAAAGCUGAGAUACCAAUAUAAGACGAGAAGACCCUGUGAAGCUUAAAAGAUCCUAUUAAACCCUAUAAUAGGUAUUUUUAGUUGGGGCAACUUUGGAAAAUAACCCAACCUCCAAGAAGAAGGGAGAGAAAUCUCUCACCACAAGACCAACAAGUCAACCACGACCCAGUAUAACUGAAAAACGAACAAAGUUACUCCAGGGAUAACAGCGCAAUCUUCUUCAAGAGCCCAUAUCAAAAGGAAGGUUUACGACCUCGAUGUUGGAUCAGGACACCCAAAUGGCGCAGCCGCUAUUAAAGGUUCGUUUGUUCAACGAUUAACAGUCCUACGUGAUCUG
Molecule: ribosomal RNA, 530 nt
Filed under: Amerotyphlops tycherus
Lineage: Eukaryota; Metazoa; Chordata; Lepidosauria; Squamata; Typhlopidae
Description: partial 16S ribosomal RNA
Rfam family: Bacterial large subunit ribosomal RNA
Source: RNAcentral